Molecule: microRNA, 22 nt
Filed under: human gammaherpesvirus 4 (Epstein-Barr virus)
Lineage: Duplodnaviria; Heunggongvirae; Peploviricota; Herviviricetes; Herpesvirales; Orthoherpesviridae
Description: ebv-miR-BART18-3p
Gene: ebv-miR-BART18-3p
Source: miRBase by way of RNAcentral
UAUCGGAAGUUUGGGCUUCGUC